UAANUCACAGGNGUUGUCCGGAAUUACUGNGUGUANAGGGAGCGCAGCNGGAAUACNACGUUGGAAGUGAAAUCUAUGNGCUCAACCCAUNAACUGCUUUCAAAACUGUCAAUCUGNNGUACCGCAUAGGUAAGCGGNAUUCCUAGUGUACCGNUNAANUGCGUAUAUNUUACGANGAACACCAGUGGCGAAGGCGGCUUACUGGACGGUAACUGACGUUGAGGCUCGAAAGCGUGGGGAGCAAACAGGAUUAGAUACCCUGGUAGUCCACGCCGUANACGAUGACUACUAGGUGUCGGGCAGCANAGCUGUUCGGUGCCGCAGCAAACGCAAUAAGUAGUCCACCUGGGGAGUACGUUCGCAAGAAUGAAACUCAA
RNAcentral lists this ribosomal RNA (377 nucleotides) under uncultured bacterium. Its description in RNAcentral is "partial 16S ribosomal RNA". It matches the Rfam family "Bacterial small subunit ribosomal RNA", at positions 528 to 904 of the family's 1533-position model. The record is from RNAcentral.